Molecule: long non-coding RNA, 328 nt
Filed under: Acyrthosiphon pisum (pea aphid)
Lineage: Eukaryota; Metazoa; Arthropoda; Insecta; Hemiptera; Aphididae
Description: uncharacterized LOC115034622
Source: RNAcentral
CAUAUUGGAUUAAAAUAUAACUACAAAAUAAAUUAAGUAAUCAAGUUAAUCGCAAAGAAGUGGAAAAAAUCUAUUUUGACUUACUGCACUUUAUAACUUUCACAUAAUACAUUAUGAUAUCAAAUCAGAAUUUGAAUAUGCCAUAGUGAAAUAUACUUUCACUUACAAUUUGGAAGAUCCUUUAUGUUAAAAUGAUAUUCAUACCGAUAUUUCCAAUUGCAUUUAAAAAUACCAAUAUUUUGGUAACAGUGAAAAAUAAAUUAACGCUUCACAUAUCGGAUUAAAAUAUGACUACAAAAUAAAUUAAGUAAUCAAGUUAAUUGCAAAG